This is a long non-coding RNA of Phasianus colchicus (ring-necked pheasant), 1206 nucleotides long. RefSeq lists it as uncharacterized. Lineage: Eukaryota; Metazoa; Chordata; Aves; Galliformes; Phasianidae. The record is from RefSeq and is a predicted model, not a curated record.
CCUAUCAUCACAUGUUUAAAAGCCCUCAAUGCGGUUGAACUUUAUCAGGCACCUGAUUUUUGGCCUCUACUUGAAAACAGUCAGUGGAUGUAAGAAUAGCAGCUGAUCUCCCUGACCGCCUGUGGCCCUGAUCUUGCUUUGGGCCAGCAGCAUAAGAUGAGGGCCAGAGGCCAGCCACAGAGCAAGCCCUGGGUGGGAGUGAUGGUCAGGACUGGGUCCUAGGGAGAUAAUGCUGCCCCACAAGACAAUGACCUGUGAGAUGGUGUGGAAUAUGAAAUUUACCUUGGAAGACUCAUGGACACUGUUGUUGAGGAUUCAAAAUUUCAUGAUAAAGCUCCAGUGUAUCUGACUAACACGUACUGAAUUCUCAGAAGCCUUCUUGUGAUCUUACAUCACCAGGGCAAUUACUCUGUUUUAUAUGCAAACUAGUCCAUAAAUUUAAUGGAUUUUUUUUUUGAAAACUGAAAGAAACGCAAACUGAUGUGUGUAUUUUUCACUCCAUGGGCUACAUGUCUAGAGGAUGGUCUUUGGCAGUAUUGAUCUGCUUCUGCAGUCUGGGUUUUCAAAUAAUCAAACAAAAAUUGAUCCUUUAUGUAGUUUGUUUCCAGCAGCCCCAGAGCUAAGAGUUUUCUUAUAUUUUUCUCCUGUGACUCUCUGAUUAUUACAGUGUUAUAGAAAUCAAUAUUUACAAUAGAAAUGGAAAAUCAAAUGCUUCCACUAAUUUGGUUCAUGCACCACAGCCAUUUCCAUGGGGUUUGACUGUCACAGGCCACAGUCCUAUAAGAAAAGUGAAACACAGUGGGGAAAGAAUGCUGAAGAGGGAGGUGGUGAGAAGCAGAUGAAAGCAGAGGUGGGAGAGCCAGGUACUGUGAUCCCAGUCAGGACACCUGGCCCUCCUGAGGAGGCACUGGUAACACCAUGUGUGUAUUUGAUAAGAUAGAAACUUUGUUUUAUCUAACACAGUCAUUGAGGUUUGAGGAAAAGAAUGGGGCAAAACAGUAGAUUCUUCUUCUCUUUUCCCUCAGUUACAAAAUCAGUUUUACUGAAAAUAAAUACUGGAAUAAGAUAGGCUGUCAUUUUUCAGCUAGAAAUGAGGUGAAGUGCUCCUGCCUUUUCAGCUUUUAUAUUUUCAAACACUUUAAAAAAAGAAAAUCUGAUAAUGAAUAUACAUAAUCCCAGACACAUCAUUUUUAACAAUUUAUCUGG